RNAcentral lists this non-coding RNA (75 nucleotides) under Arabidopsis thaliana (thale cress). The record is from RNAcentral. Lineage: Eukaryota; Viridiplantae; Streptophyta; Magnoliopsida; Brassicales; Brassicaceae.
UCGAGCCGGAUGAUAAAAAAUUAUCAUGUCCGGUUCCCUCGGGGGAUGGAUCCAUAAGAAUUCACCUAUCCCAAU